This 236-nucleotide long non-coding RNA is filed under the name Capsicum annuum. RNAcentral's name for it is "long non-coding RNA (CANN_LNC008391)". The record is from RNAcentral. Lineage: Eukaryota; Viridiplantae; Streptophyta; Magnoliopsida; Solanales; Solanaceae.
UCAACAAAUGCUAGCCCAUUUAAACUUCAUAACAAUAAUAAUUGGUUAUAAUCAUAUAGGUUAUCUUAUUCACAAUCCAUUAACACAUCCUUUUUCACCUGUCACUACUAUCUAUCCUUCAUACACAACUUAACUUAGUUCAUAGCUCUCUUCGCCUUAACUUAACUUCUUCUUGCAACCCGAACAAACUAAAUAACACCCAUUACUAACCUAUACUCUCUGGCAUACAAAUACCG